AACGCUGGCGGCACGCUUAACACAUGCAAGUCGAACGAAAAUGUUUCACCGUAGCUUGCUACACCGAGACAUUUUAGUGGCGGACGGGUGAGUAACACGUGAGGAACCUGCCUAUCAGAGAGGGAUACCGUUUGGAAACGAACGUUAAUACCUCAUAACGUAACGAGAUCGCAUGAUAAUGUUACCAAAGAUUUAUCGCUGAUAGAUGGCCUCGCGUCUGAUUAGAUAGUUGGUGAGGUAACGGCUCACCAAGUCGACGAUCAGUAGCCGGACUGAGAGGUUGAACGGCCACAUUGGGACUGAGACACGGCCCAGACUCCUACGGGAGGCAGCAGUGGGGAAUAUUGCACAAUGGAGGAAACUCUGAUGCAGCGAUGCCGCGUGAGGGAAGAAGGUUUUCGGAUUGUAAACCUCUGUCUUCAGGGACGAUAAUGACGGUACCUGAGGAGGAAGCUCCGGCUAACUACGUG
This 470-nucleotide ribosomal RNA is filed under the name uncultured bacterium. RNAcentral's name for it is "bacterial SSU rRNA". It matches the Rfam family "Bacterial small subunit ribosomal RNA", at positions 32 to 507 of the family's 1533-position model. The record is from RNAcentral.